This 298-nucleotide unclassified non-coding RNA is filed under the name Bombus terrestris (buff-tailed bumblebee). RNAcentral's name for it is "misc RNA ENSBTSG00005033281.1". Lineage: Eukaryota; Metazoa; Arthropoda; Insecta; Hymenoptera; Apidae. The record is from RNAcentral.
GGUUAGAAAAUACAGCCUGUGUUAAGCCUCGUGGCGUAACAUCCUCCCCCCGUUGAGAGGGUACCGAUCAAAUGAUAUGGUGUGGAGUCAGUAUAGUGGGGGUCGUCUUAAAGAUGAGACAAAGAAAUCAUCCAAAGUGGAUCAGUUCCUUGUGACGCGUCGAACAUUACACAUUGCCAAACAUUCGCUUAUUCUGUUAAUAAGUAUCAUAUCGUGCUACGUCCACCAAGAGACUAACUUCAAGUGUAAGAGCCUUGCUCGAUACUGUAUACAUUUACAUUAUCUGCGUGCGAUAAAG